GAUGAACGCUAGCUACAGGCUUAACACAUGCAAGUCGCGGGGCAGCAUGGGGGUUGCUUGCAAUCCCCGAUGGCGACCGGCGCACGGGUGAGUAACGCGUAUCCAACCUGCCCUUCACCACGGGAUAACCCGGCGAAAGUCGGACGAAUACCGUAUGUUGUCCAUUGACGGCAUCCGAUUUGGACGAAAGGCUUGGCGGUGAGGGAUGGGGAUGCGUCCGAUUAGCAAGUCGACGGGGUAACGACCCACCGUGGCGCCGAUGGGUACGGGUUCUGAGAGGAAGCUCCCCCAUACUGGAACUGAGACACGUUCCAGGCUACUACGGCAGGCAGCAGUAAGGAAUAUUGGGCAAUGAGCUUAAGCCUGAACCAGCCAAGUAGCGUGCAGGAUGCCGGCCCUAUGGGUUGUAAACUGCUUUUAUGCGGGGAUAAAGUGGCCCACGUGUGGGAUUUUGAAGGUACCGCAUGAAUAAGGACCGGCUAAUUCCGUG
Molecule: ribosomal RNA, 490 nt
Filed under: uncultured bacterium
Lineage: Bacteria
Description: partial 16S ribosomal RNA
Rfam family: Bacterial small subunit ribosomal RNA
Source: RNAcentral